UUUUGCCUGCUGCCAUGUAAGACGUGCCUUUCACCUUCUACCAUGAUUGUAAGGCCUCCCCUGCCACGUGGAACUGUGAACCUGGGUCGUGUGUAACAUGCAUGUUUGUUCCCUAGCCUGCAUCAGGACCACCUUCAUGAAUAUCCAUAGCUCCUGUUGAAUAUGUAUGUUUAGCUAACUCAUUCAUCAUAUAUCUUCUACCCCAAUCCCUUCUCCUUCAAAGUGCCUGUCUUUGGUGUAGCCCUCCCAGCUUGCCAGAUGGCCACCUUGCAGGUUGUAACCCUUUAUAAGAAAUAAAGUCUCCUUUUCCAAAUUUA
Molecule: long non-coding RNA, 317 nt
Filed under: Homo sapiens (human)
Lineage: Eukaryota; Metazoa; Chordata; Mammalia; Primates; Hominidae
Description: lncAB494.1
Source: RNAcentral